UACAGAGGGGGCAAGCGUUGUUCGGAAUUACUGGGCGUAAAGGGCGCGUAGGCGGCCUUCUAAGUCGAACGUGAAAUCCCCGGGCUCAACCCGGGAACUGCGUCCGAGACUGGAAGGCUCGAAUCCGGGAGAGGGAUGUGGAAUUCCAGGUGUAGCGGUGAAAUGCGUAGAUAUCUGGAGGAACAUCGGUGGCGAAGGCGGCACUCUGGGCCGAUACUGACACUGAGGAGCGAAAGCGUGGGGAGCGAACAGG
RNAcentral lists this ribosomal RNA (253 nucleotides) under uncultured bacterium. RNAcentral describes it as "partial 16S ribosomal RNA". It matches the Rfam family "Bacterial small subunit ribosomal RNA", at positions 524 to 776 of the family's 1533-position model. The record is from RNAcentral.